CGCACGGGUGAGUAACACGUAUCCAACCUGCCGUCUACUCUUGGACAGCCUUCUGAAAGGAAGAUUAAUACAAGAUGGCAUCAUGAGUCCGCAUGUUCACAUGAUUAAAGGUAUUCCGGUAGACGAUGGGGAUGCGUUCCAUUAGAUAGUAGGCGGGGUAACGGCCCACCAAACCGACGAUGGAUAGGGGUUCUGAGAGGAAGGUCCCCCACAUUGGUACUGAGACACGGACCAA
RNAcentral lists this ribosomal RNA (235 nucleotides) under uncultured bacterium. RNAcentral describes it as "partial 16S ribosomal RNA". It matches the Rfam family "Bacterial small subunit ribosomal RNA", at positions 99 to 334 of the family's 1533-position model. The record is from RNAcentral.